CAGUCGCCGCGGUAAAACGAAGGGUGCAAGCGUUAAUCGGAAUUACUGGGCGUAAAGCGCGCGUAGGUGGUUUGGUAAGAUGGAUGUGAAAUCCCCGGGCUCAACCUGGGAACUGCAUCCAUAACUGCCUGACUAGAGUACGGUAGAGGGUGGUGGAAUUUCCUGUGUAGCGGUGAAAUGCGUAGAUAUAGGAAGGAACACCAGUGGCGAAGGCGACCACCUGGACUGAUACUGACACUGAGGUGCGAAAGCGUGGGGAGCAAACAGGAUUAGAUACCCCCGUAGUCCCUGUCUCUUAAAC
RNAcentral lists this ribosomal RNA (301 nucleotides) under uncultured bacterium. RNAcentral's name for it is "partial 16S ribosomal RNA". It matches the Rfam family "Bacterial small subunit ribosomal RNA", at positions 509 to 807 of the family's 1533-position model. The record is from RNAcentral.